Long non-coding RNA from Manis pentadactyla (Chinese pangolin), 928 nucleotides. RefSeq lists it as uncharacterized. Lineage: Eukaryota; Metazoa; Chordata; Mammalia; Pholidota; Manidae. The transcript is spliced from 4 exons. The record is from RefSeq and is a predicted model, not a curated record.
GAAGACUCAAAUGAAAUUUCUCCACUUCUGCAGUUUGAGAACAAACAUAGAAGCCCAAAUCCCUAUUUUGCAGCAUCUGCAGGUGUGUAUCAUGAAAAUGAUCUGAUUGUUGCAGAGGAAUGAAGAGGCUAUAUUUUCUUUUCGAACCUGAGGAUGGCCACCACAUCAGGAUGCUGCUCUACAUGGACGACGAGAACCCCAGUGGAAUACUUCCAAGCUGCCUUUCCUCCUUUGCCUUACUGAAGCAUUGUUUAUCAGGAAGUAAGCAGCACACUCAUAGAUGUUCUGACCAGGGGAAAGCAUCACUUAAUUCUGUAAGGCCUCAAGAAGAAGUUUUAAAUCAUGAGUUGACCUUUGGCUGUGAAGAGUGAGUAAAUUAUUCAGAAUCUUAGUCCUAAAUGUCUCAUUAUACAGCCUAAGCUGGCACUGGAAAAAUAAAGUCAGAUUUAUAAACAACUCAAGACAGAUCAUUGGUAAAUUAAUAUUAAGAUCUCACAUCAUUAUAUUUCCAUUUUAUUUUGUAUUUGUGUUUUGAAAGCUGUCCUUAGGCUCUGAACGUAUGUCAUCUGGUUAUGAACAGUUCAGCAUGGAAUAUUGAAAAUAUUCUCACCAAACAAGUGCCACAAUUUUAUUCAGAAUUAGCUAAAGGGCAUAACACUGUAAAAAAAAAAAAAUGAACCACUCAUUUGCUGUCAUCAGAAAUGUGGAAAUGGCUCUAGGCAACAGCUGAAGAGUCCUUUUGAACUUGAGAGGUUCACUCAUUUGGCAGUGUGGAGGAUCUUGUUUGUCCUGCUAGUUCUAAAGAACUAUUUAUCCUCAAAUAAUUCCAGUAAGUAAGGCACAAGAAAAAAAAUCAUCAACCUCAUUUUCUUCUAAAUAUCUCUCUUUAUGUUAUUAUGGUAUUUUAUAUCACAUCCAAAACACGGCC